AAUAUAGAACAAGUGGCGAAAGUCUGAUCCAGCUAUGCCGGGGGUGUGAAGAAUGUCGUCGUAUCUAAAACCUUUUUAAGGGUGGCGGAAGGGUAGCACGUUAAUAUGCUGUUGUUUUGACGUUCCCGACAGAAUAAGCACCGUCUAACUUUGUGCCAGCAGCCGCGGUAAUACGAAGGGUGCAAGCGUUAAGCGGAAUUACUGGUCGUAAAGCGCGCGUAGGUGGUUUGUUAAGUUGGAAGUGAAAGCCCCGGGCUCAACCUGGGAACUGCUUUCAAAACUGGCAAGCUAGAGUAUGGCAGAGGGUGAUGGAAUUUCCUGUGUAGCGGUGAAAUGCGUAGAUAAAGGAAGGAACACCAGUGGCGAAGGCGACCACCUGGGCUAAUACUGACACUGAGGUGCGAAAGCGUGGGGAGCAAAC
This 421-nucleotide ribosomal RNA is filed under the name uncultured bacterium. RNAcentral describes it as "partial 16S ribosomal RNA". It matches the Rfam family "Bacterial small subunit ribosomal RNA", at positions 360 to 773 of the family's 1533-position model. The record is from RNAcentral.